UCUUAUCUUCCUGUUUGUGCCCCUUUCUAUGUCUGUUUCUUGUGUGCAAGCGCUCCAUUCUGUGUGUGUGACUGUCUGACUUUUUUGCGUGUGUUGCUUGACAAUGUGUGUGUGUGUGGCUUGACUGUGUGUGACUUGAGGGUGAAUAUGUGUGUGGCUUGACUGUGUGUGUGUGCUUGACUCUCUGUGUGUGACUCUGUGUGUGUGUGUGUGUGUUUGACUGUGUGAGUAUUGCAUUUGCCUGAUGGUGUGGUUUGUAUGCUUUUUUGAAUGAUUGGUUGUGUAUAACAUGUGUUUUAUAUUGUUGCGGCCUAACACUGCCUUUGCCGGUCCCAAGCUCGGGUGUGAAAAUGUGGAGGGAGCUGCAGUUACCUUCUUUGUAUUGUUUGCAUUACGAGUGUCGAUAGAAAUUACACAGUUUAGGUUACUGUCCUAAUCGAAUAGUGAAUCUUCACAUAAUUUGGUAGCAAGUGAUUCAAGCUUUAAAAUGCAUCCUUCCUUGCUAGUUGUACGAGGUCAGUGUUUUUCUUAUACGAUACCAAAGGAAAGCGAGUAGCUAAGAAUUUAGGCCUAUAAGGGUUUGAUAUAUUUUUUUUACUUCUGUGCAUGAUUUUUUAGGUGGAGAGGUCUGCACGUACAAGACGUUUUGGAUGUUUUGGAGUCCACCGCUUUGACUGUCUCCUGAUGCUCUGACUAUUUCCAUCUUAGGUGACGUGUGCUUUCUGUUUUUGAUUGUGUCUCCUUGUUUGCCACAUAUCAGUUUUGUAUGUCGGAUUGUUUGGGCCGAUUUUUCUGGGCUCUUCUCAUGGUACGAGUGGUCCUUUCUUUUUUCUUCUACUGCCUAUAAAUAAGCUAUUCUGGAGGCCUUAUUUCUCGGUUUCUAGAUUCUUUGCUUUGGGUUCGUGAUAAGGGUUCUUGCAGUUUCGUGUGCUGAUCGGCUGCCUUCUUCAGUUCGUGCUUCUGGUCGAUCUGUUCCAAGUCGCUCCGAAUAUAUUCCUGGUGCUACUUCUGGCGGUGGAUCUUCUAGUCGAUCUGUUCUAAGUGCCGCUCAAUAUCCUGUUUUGGAUCCUAAUGAAGCGCACCGGUGUCGGCAUGAGAUUCGAUGCGGGAAGCAUCCUAUUUAUUUAUACAACCACGGUCCAUUGGCUGGAGUCGAGGAAAUUCUCAAGCAUAAAACGACAUCUUCUUACUCAACAUAAUUUUAAAGAAACAGGAUGAAGUCGAAGCGGCACGGAUGGCAGCAAUCAACAAGGAAAUUAAACGUGUGUUGACAGAAGUUCUUUUGAAGGUUUCUGAUGAUCUUUUUAAUGAGAUCACGGCCAAAGUUAUGAAUGAAGAUGAUUCAUCAGCUGAACCAAAUGAGACCACUGGUGUCUCUAGCUCAAAGGAGCUUGGUCUAGGAGAAUCAGAAGUCAAGACCACAACUGUAUUGGUCGUUCUGAUGAUACUGGGCUAAGUUCUCCUAAAGGUGCUUUCUUGGUCAUGCUAAUUAUGAUUCAGAUGAUGAUGAUGGUAAGGGUUUAAUUCCAAAUUUAUCAUCUGAAAUUAAAGUUGGUGCAGCUCAUCCUAAAGAAAGUAAGUUCUUGAAAAACACAAAGUGGACAUGGUUUCCCAAAAUUUAUUUUCUAAAGAAGGAAGAGCUAAUUAUUAACUUUCUGAGUUUACUUCGGUCUUGCAUGUACUAGCUUUCUGUUUUUGCCCCUAUCUAUGUCUGUUUCUUUCCAUUUCUUGUGUGCACGUGCUCCAUUGUGUUUGUGUGUGUCUGACUGUGUGUGUGAUGUGCCCCUAACUCUGUUUCUGUCUGUUUCUUGUGUUCAAGUGCUACAUUGUGUGUGUGAUGUGCCCCUAUCUAUGCAUGUUUCUUGGGUGCAAGCGCUUGAUUGAGUGUGUGCUUGUGACUGUGUGUAUUGCAUUUGCUUGAUGG
Molecule: long non-coding RNA, 1924 nt
Organism: Triticum aestivum (bread wheat)
Lineage: Eukaryota; Viridiplantae; Streptophyta; Magnoliopsida; Poales; Poaceae
Exons: 5
Source: RefSeq, a predicted model, not a curated record